This 92-nucleotide ribosomal RNA is filed under the name Acinetobacter baumannii. Lineage: Bacteria; Pseudomonadati; Pseudomonadota; Gammaproteobacteria; Moraxellales; Moraxellaceae. The record is from RNAcentral.
CCCACCUGAUCCCUUCCCGAACUCAGAAGUGAAACCUCUUAGCGCUGAUGGUAGUGUGGGAUUACCCAUGUGAGAGUAAGUCAUCGCCAGCU